AAAUAUCGAAUAUAUACGUUGUUGUAACACCGUGAAAAUUUACAAGCAAUUUAAACUUUUCGAAAACAACCCACAUUCAUUAAGUUAUUACAAAAGGUUUUCAGUUCAUUUAUUAUCAAAGUAUCCCAGAAACAUCAACAUAAAACUGAGGAGCGGUACGAUCACACCUUCGCCUUGCCAUGGUCUAAUGAAGUACCUGAUACAAUACACUGAAACUGUAAGCCCAAAAGCUUAGUGAGUUACCCCCAAAAUACCAACCACAAUACCAUACACAUAUCAUAUCAUAUCAUAAACAGAACAACCAUGCAUAUCGAUUCUAUAGUGUGACUGGUCCGCCUGCACCAAGCCUUCAGUUCAUCAGGUCCACUCUCUCUCCGAGUCUACAGUAUGACUGGUCUACCCGCAUAGGGCCUUCAGUCCACCUAGUCCACUCUCUGAGUCUACAGUAUUACCGGCCCGCUCGCACCGGGCCUUCAGUCUGUCUGGUCCACUCUCUGAGCCUCAACACGUCUGGUCCGCCAUUUUGGGGCCUUCAGCCUAUCCGAACCACUCGCCGGGCCUUCGGUCUAACCGGUCCGCCCUGGGUAUGUUGGCCUACAGCACAAGGCAGGACCCGCCUCAACCCAACCCCAGUCCAACAACCAUGUGCACAUAAACAUAUAAUCAUAUAGCAAUUCACAACUAAUCAACCGAUCUAGCAUAUCACAUAACAUAGCAACAUCCUAACCAAGAUACUGACCUAACCGGUCACUAACAUAACAUUAUCCUAUAUACCAGGAUACCGACCUUAACCAGGUCUCUAACAUAUACCAUACUAACUACCAGGAUACCGACCUUAACCAAGUCCCUAACAUAUACCAUCCUGCCUACCAGGAUGCAGACAUAGCAAAGCAAUAACAUAACAAACAACUACCCGGAUUCCCAUCCGAUAAAGGGCCGACCUUAGUGCCUUAGACCCUGUUGAUAUAGUGAGGAUAACUCACCUGCAACUGCCGACUUGAAGAAACAAGAUCACGCUGCUCCGACCACCAGCACGAGCUCCACCACUGAACAUUACCAAUUAACCAAAACCAUUAAGCACCAAUAAUUACCAAAAUACCCUUGGAAGUCAAACUGGUCAACCCUUGGUCCAAGUCAAAGUCCUUAGUCAAAGUCAACCUUCCUGGUUGACCCUACUCGCUGAGUCAACUAGUUGACUCGUCGAGUUCCUAUGCUCAAAAACUUCCCAUGCCACGACUUAACUCGCUGAGUCACCCCAAGACUCAUCGAGUCCAACAAUCUUCGAGUCCCAUCCUGCACAACUCACCGAGUCAUCCCUCGACUCACCGAUUCACAGCUCAACCAAAAAAGGUUAAGGUUCCACGACCAGACUCGCUGAGUCCAAGAACAGAGUCGCCGAGUCCAAGGCAAUCUUCAACAGACUCGUCGAGUUGUUCUUCCAACUCGCCGAGUCCACACGGGACUAAUCGGACCAAACCCUACCCAACUCGCUGAGUCUUCUCCCAGACUCGCCGAGUCCACAUGGGUUAUUCCAUAAUCUGAAAUUACAUAGCUUCUCCUUUGCUCCAAACAAUAGAUCAGGGUCCCUAUGGUUCAUUAGCAACAUAAAGUUGCUACCUUUACGUGCUUCCAUGACCCAUUCACCAAAAACCAAGCUAGAAUGGAACUUAACUCAUUAGGGCUGGCUUUUGCAUAGCUAAACAAAGGGAUUUCUUCACAUAGAAUCCAUAUAGAACUCAGAUCUGGAGUUUCAACUCCAGAUCUAGCUCAUGCAUGAAGAUCUCAUCAUAAAUUCCUCCAAACAAACCCUAAAGCUCCAUGAAAGGUGGAUCUAGAAGGAAUAAAGCCAAGAUGACGAAUCCUUACCUCAAAACAACCUCCAACUGAAGAGUAAACCAAAUCUCCUCAAGCCUCCUUGAUCCAAGCUUCUUAAUCUUCAAGACUUCCUUCCUAAAUCCACUUAUCUAAGCUCCAAAAUGCUCCCAAGGGUCUCACUUAUGAUUUUAGAGCUGCUGAUUCUCAGGGGAGUCAUAAGGGGCCAAAAUGGGGGCUUAAGGCUCCUUAAAUAGGGUGCAAACCCUAGGAAUUAGGGUUUCUCAUUCCAGCACGGACUCGUCGAGUCCAGCCUCCGACUCGGCGAGUCCAAUCACUUAACACGUGUCUGGCACACGCUUAGACUCGACGAGUUGCAGCUCCUACUCGCCAAGUUCCUCUUUUCCAAANCCCCCCCCCCCCUGAACUCUUGAUUCUGACUUGGGAUGUUACAGUUGUAUAACUCGAAAAAAUUCACUAGCUUUAUCACACGAAUUAGCCAUUUCACAAAUUACUAAAUUUAAACUAUGACAACCACAAGGAGUGUAGAAUGCUCCAGGGUUAAUAUCUAACAAUCAUUUAUGUACACCUUGAUGUUUUCCUUUCAUAUUUGAUCCAUUGUCAUAACCUUGACCCCUAACAUCAUUUAUAUCUAGUCCUAUAUUUUUAAUUUUAUCAAUUAUAGCAUCAUAUAAGCCUUUACCGGUUGUAUUAUCUAUAAUUAAAAAUCCUAGAAAGUACUCCUUAACUUCAAUUGGAUUUGUUGAAAGAUCUAAACAUCGUAAGAUAAUUGAUAUUUGUUCCUUAUAACUUGUAUCGGUAGUACAAUCAUGUAUUAUUGAAAAGUAUUUAGCCUCUUUUAUUUUUUUAAUAAUUUUACUUUUAACUUUUUCUCCUAAUAAACUAAUAAGUUCAUUUUGCAUAUUAUGUCUAAGAUAAUGAUUAUGGAUUUCUUUGUCAUUAAUUCUCCUAAUAUGUUCUUGCAUAAUAAGAUCAAAUUCCGCAAUCAUUUCAAUUAUACUUAAAAAAUUACCAUUAUUUUCUUCAUAAAUCUUUUCAUUUGUUCCACGAAAGGCUAAAUUAUUUUUUUCUAAAGUUUUUACUACAACAAUGAUUCUUUUUAACACAUUUUUCCGAUGUUCUUUUUCUUUAUUUAUUUGUUCUUGGAUUUGCUUGUCAAUUGUUUUGUUAUUUGUUAAUCUAGUUUCUAAGUCAAUCCAUGAUCUCAUAUUAAGAAUGUGUUUGUUACUUGCUUCAUGUCUUUUUAGUAUAAUAGAAAUAUUGUUCCAAUCAUUAUUACAUUUAUGUGCUAAUGAGCAUGUAGAUGUAUUUACAUUAAAUAAUUUACAACAAAAACAAAAAACUCUACCUACAUCUAUGGAAUAAACCAACCAUGUUCGUUCGUAUUUUUCUCCGUUUGGUAUUUUUUGCAUAUAAAGAGAUGUACUAAAGCUUCUUAAAUGUUAAUCUUUUGGAAAUUUAAAAUCAUAAAUCUUAACAGGACCUUUUUCUACAAUUAAAUCUCUUAAAUUUUUACUAAUAUUGUUUCAUCUACUUGGAUCAUAUAUGUUUAAAGGCGUGUUAUCAUUUUCAUUAUUAGUUUGUUCGUUAUCAAUUUCAAUAUUAGGUUGUUCGUUAUCAAUUUCAAUAUUAAUUUGUUCGUUAUCAUUUUCAAUAUUAGUUGGUUCAUUAUCAUUUUCAAUAUUAGUUGGUUCAUGAUCAUUAUUAUCAACAUUAGCUUGUUCUUGUUCAUUAUCGACAUUAGUUUGUUGUUGUUCAUUAUCAACAUUUUUAUUUGUAGUUAAAUAUUUUAAAAACGACCCUUUUUGUUUAUCUAUAAAAACUUAUUCUUGCAUUUUUCGUUUCCUUUUUGAAGAACCGGAUUCGUAUUUUCUUUUUGACAUGAUUAUUAAUUAUUUAGUUAGUAAUAACUAUAAGUAUAAAAGAUAUGGUUUAGAAUUAUACCGCCCAUGAGAUAAUGGAAAGCUCAAAAACAAUGGAAUCUGCCAAUUUGGAAUCAGAGAACAAUGAAAUCAGCCAAUCUGGAAUCAGUGAACAAUGGAAUCUGCCAAUCUGGAAUAAAAAAAUCAAAAAAAUUAAAAAAAUUAGCAACUUUAUCAUCCAUGCCUUUUGGAUAAAGCAAAAAACAAUUAAAAUACAAAAUAAAAAACCAUUCGUUAGAUUGCAAAAGGUUCAUAAGAAUUUUGUGGCUUAAUGGGUUGUUAAAAUAAUCUAGUUACUCAUGUCCAUUGUAAAAAGAUAAACCCUAAUUAAUUGGCUAUUAACCCCAACAAGGGGAUGUCUCAUUUCCAAUUUCACAUCCGUCGUAAAAAAAAUUAUAAAGUGUUUGUUUUUUUUUGUUUUUUUUUCUAAAAGACUAAAAUAUACAAUCUUCGGAAUCAACUAAUCAAAGGAGUCAUACCAAUCUGAUUACCUUUGGCCACUUUUCUUAACCGACAAAGCUCCUAUAUCAAGAUUACUGCAAACAGUUUAUAGUUUUGAUUAUUCUUAUGCAUAAAAUUUCCUAUCGACCUAUGUUGAAAAAAAACAAAGAAAGUAAAGAACAUUUAAAUAAACCAUAAUAAUAUCCAAGAGUAUUCCAGAUUAAUAUAACCUAAAUUGCAUUUAUUCAUUAAAGAACCUCCAUCACGGCAUCACCACUUAGUUUNUUUUUUUUUUUUUUUUUUUUUUUUUUUUUUUUUUUUUUGAAAAUUUAAAAUACUAACACAUUACCUGUUACAGUUUCAAUGACUGAAUGACAGCAAAAUAGCAGCAAAUCAUUAAAUCAAUGGACAAUGAACAAUGAUUUUUAACUUUUGAGCAAUGGAGAAACCAAGAAUGAAGAAAGAAUAAGAACUAAAGUCUGAAGAGGGAAGAACAGCAGCAACGAUUCAACAGAAGAGUGGAAGAAUCAAUUGGGGAAGGCCUAGAAUCGAGUCUGAGAAUGGAGAAAAAGAAAGGAAUUUCAAUCGUCGUAGUGUCGUACUCGUCGCUUGAAGAAUCGAUCAACAGGCGUGAUUUUUUGGAUACUUAUGAGCUGGACUGAAAUUAAAUGGGGCUCCUUACAAUUGGGGGCCCUAAGCCUUACCUUUACUCACUAAAGCAUAAGGUCGGCCAUGGGUAUGGGCAACUAAUUAAGGGGUAUUAUCACACUCAAAAGUUGUCAUCUCAUAUGUCAUGUCACACUAUGGUGUUAUAGCACCAAGUUAGGAAAUAGACAACAUAUUAUGAUUAGGGAUGAGCAUAAACGGGUAUCCAACUAAAUUCAGUGGAACCGGAACCGGCGGUUCCUAGGAUGUCGGAACCGGAACCGAAACCGAUCACAUCGGUUCCUAAACUUUUGGAACUGGUUUUGUUCUGGGUACCCGCUACCUAAAAACUUUCAAACUAUUUCAAGCAAUGUUUUGAAAAACGGUUGUUUUCAAACAUGUAAAAAUCGGACAGUUUGGUUAAAACCAGUUAAAAUCGGUCCAUUUAAACCCUUCAAAACCAUUUUUUUGAAAAAGAAUCACUUUACGUGCCUUAAUAGGAGUCAUUGCGUUUCACUAAAGGUGCUUCAACCUCUCUCUCUCUCUCUUAUUUUAUGUUAGGCGGUAGAUGUGAGAUUCCAAGGUAAAAAAUAAGAAGUGUUUCUUAUACAAUAUAGAAAAAAUCAGGACUGUUUGGUAGCAUCUGAAGUAUUCAUAUCUGGAUGAUGCAAAGGCUCUGUAUGAAUCUGUAUCUGAAUGAUAAGUUGAUGUUUGGUCAGGCAUCUGAAUGUCUGUCUCUUAAUGGUGAAAAUGACCAUUUUAACCCUCUGAACUAUUUUUUACUGUUUGGUUAGAUAUCUAAACGAGUAUGUUAAACAAUACUGAAUUUAUAAACAAUUUUAAAUAAAAUACAAAACGUCAUACAAAACCCAAAUCAAACAAUAAACAAAAUCCGAAUUGAUCAACUACAAAAUUGUAUUUUGUUUUCAAUCCUUCAACUAUAUUCUUUCACGACUUCGCUUUCAAAUUACUCCAUUCACAUCCAUAAGUUGUAAUUUCAUGAAUACAAGCUUGAAGAAAAUGUAUUUUCCACACCUUCUAUCUGUUUACUGUUUACGGUUAACUCAGACCUUUUUUGUGUCAUUUGUUACAUGUCUAGUAUUUACAAUCCAACAAGAACAAGUUUAAUCAAUUUUGAACUUUUUAUUCAUAGCAACAAAAUCCAACAACAACAAAGCAACACAAAUUAAGCAAAAAUCUUAAGAUAGAGCAACAAAAAUCUAUUAUCCACACAAAAACAUAGCAGAAUUCGGAGUUCACAUAGGAAAUUUUGGAGUUCACACAAAAACAAAUGAAUACAGCAGCAAAAAUCUUAAGAUAGAGCAGCAAACGACGAAAUAGAUUUCACACAAAUUUCAGCAGCAAGAAUAGAUCAAACACAAGAUAACAGAUUUUAGGGCUUGAAAAAAAUCGAUUUCACACAAAUCGAUCAACCGCACAAGAAAACAGCAUAACGAGACAGUGGGGGUACUUACCAGCGAAGGGGAGGCGACGAGGAGGGAGGCGGAGGUGGUGUGACGCUCCGGCGGUCCGAUGGCAAGGAGGGAAUCAAUGACCGUUGUCGAUGGGAGAAGUGGGGGAAGAAAAAAGAAACAAACGUUGUUUUCUUUAGGGCUAAGGAUAUCAGAUUGAAACUUUUUCAUCCAGACUUGUCACCACAUCUGACCAAUCAAGACUAUUUUCUCUUAGGUCGGACCGAUUUAGAUGUUCAAAAAGCACCAACCAAACACUUUGAAUCUGAACAAUCCAAAGUCAACCUCUUUAUGAUAUGAUUAAGAGGCCAAACAAACAGCCCCUAAAUUAUAAUAAAAAUAAGUUGCGAACAAUAUUUUCUCAACAAUCCUUCUAUUUGUAUUUACCACAAAAAAAGUAACGAUUAUUUGAUAAAAAACACAAGAUAACAGAUUUUAGGGCUUGAAAAAAAUCGAUUUCACACAUAUCGAUCAGCCGCACAAGAAAACAGCAUAACGAGACAGAGGGGGUACUUACCAGCGAAGGGUAGGCGACGAGGAGGGAGGCAGAGGUGGUGCGACGCUCCGGCGGUCCGAUGGCAAGGAGGGAAUCAGUGACCAUUGUCGAUGGGAGAAGCGGGGGAAGAAAAAAGAAACAAACGUUGUUUUCUUUAGGGCUAAGGAUAUCAGAUUGAAACUUUUUCAUCCAGACUCGUCACCACAUCUGACCGAUCAGGACUACUUUCUCUUAUGUGUCACCGAUUUAGAUGUUCAAAAAGCACCAACCAAACACUCUGAAUAUGAACAAUCCAGAGUCAACCUCUUUAUGAUAUGAUUAAGAGACCAAACAAACAGCCCCUAAAUUAUAAUAAAAAUAAGUUGCGAACAAUAUUUUCUCAACAAUCCUUCUAUUUGUAUUUACCACAAAAAA
Molecule: long non-coding RNA, 7223 nt
Filed under: Lactuca sativa (garden lettuce)
Lineage: Eukaryota; Viridiplantae; Streptophyta; Magnoliopsida; Asterales; Asteraceae
Description: long non-coding RNA (LSAT_LNC002291)
Source: RNAcentral